Molecule: long non-coding RNA, 822 nt
Organism: Zalophus californianus (California sea lion)
Lineage: Eukaryota; Metazoa; Chordata; Mammalia; Carnivora; Otariidae
Exons: 3
Source: RefSeq, a predicted model, not a curated record
AGGAGCGGGAUUUCGCAGCCGAUCCAAGAGGCUUUUCUCCCUCAAACUUUUCUUUUGGCACAGCCCGGGAGUGAAGGAGAAGGCUUUGGUUCCCUGUGACAACUCGGAGAUUUUGAGGGCUGAGCUGCCCUCUGGUGGCACUCAGCCCCAUGCUCCGCGGGCAUGUAAUGCACACUCAACAGUGGGGAUAACUGAGUGGGAGGUGACAGUCGUGUCAGAGGCUGUGAGCAGCCGUGGCUACUCACCACCGAGAUGGAGCUACUUACACCGGCACCCGGGGCUGACCGUGGGCGCUGAGCGAAGGCAGAGGGCUCCCGCUCAGUUGUACGGUCAGUGAAGUCCCGUGGGAGGUGGCGUUUGUCACCGCACCUGCGGAUCAGAGCAAGGCCUGGCACCGAGCCAAGGCCUCACCCGUGCGAUCUCCCUAUAGACUCACAGCAACCCUAAUAUCCUUACAACAGUCCCGAGAAGUGUGUAUUUUGUUGUCCGUUUUACAGAUGCUCGGCAGAGACUGCAGGAGAUUGAUAAUAUCCAGAAAGGAUUAAACAAUGACCACCCUUUAUAGGGCACUUUGCGGUCCACAGAGCAGUCUCGCAUGUGUUGUUUCAUUGGAUCCCCCAAACAUCGAAGAUGACUUUUGUUAGUCUUAUUUUACCGGUGAAGAAACUGGUGCUCAGGGAAGUUGAAGGAGGAGUCGAAGGUGUGGCAUGGUUAAGGAGGUACCUGAGGUCAACGCAAGAACUAGAAGUCAGAUCCAGCUCUUGCUUACUCUGAAUCCCACACUCCUUCCUGCCCCAUCGGAAGUGGCAAGCCAUGUUCACC